Molecule: unclassified non-coding RNA, 379 nt
Filed under: soil metagenome
Description: partial contains 5.8S ribosomal RNA, internal transcribed spacer 2, and large subunit ribosomal RNA
Rfam family: 5.8S ribosomal RNA (bases 1-120)
Source: RNAcentral
GAUGAAGAACGUAUCGAAAUGCGAUAAGUAAUGUGAAUUGCAGAAUUCAGUGAAUCAUCGAAUCUUUGAACGCACCUUGCACCCUUUGGCAUUCCGAAGGGUAUGCUCGUUUGAGUGUCAUUGUACUCUCACACUUCCAAUCUUUGGAUUGGGAGCAGUGGACUUGGGUGUUGCUGCUUACUGUGGCUCACCUCAAAUCGAUUCGUGCACCUCUUGGUUGGACAUAGUACGGCGUGAUAAGUGUCUUCGCCGGCACCUCAGUAGAGGGUGGCUGAUCAGGAGCUCUGUGCUUCAAACCGUCCUCGGACAACAACUGACAACUUGGCCUCAAAUCGAGUAGGACUACCCGCUGAACUUAAGCAUAUCAAUAAGCGGAGGA